RNAcentral lists this transfer RNA (78 nucleotides) under compost metagenome. RNAcentral's name for it is "tRNA-Leu". It matches the Rfam family "tRNA". From Rfam's summary of the family: Transfer RNA (tRNA) molecules are approximately 80 nucleotides in length. Their secondary structure includes four short double-helical elements and three loops (D, anti-codon, and T loops). The record is from RNAcentral.
GCCGGAUUGGUGGAAUUGGUAUACACAAGAGCUUUAAACCCUCUUCAGCUACGAGUUCGAGUCUCGUAUCCGGUACCA